RNAcentral lists this ribosomal RNA (348 nucleotides) under uncultured bacterium. Its description in RNAcentral is "bacterial SSU rRNA". It matches the Rfam family "Bacterial small subunit ribosomal RNA", at positions 917 to 1264 of the family's 1533-position model. The record is from RNAcentral.
GGACCCGCACAAGUAGUGGAGCAUGUGGUUUAAUUCGAUGCAACGCGAAGAACCUUACCAGGGUUUUGACAUCCUGCGAAUUUUCUGGGAAAACCGGAAAGUGCCUUCGGGAGCGCAGUGACAGGUGGUGCAUGGCUGUCGUCAGCUCGUGUCGUGAGAUGUUGGUUAAGUCCCGCAACGAGCGCAACCCACGUCUUUAGUUGCCAGCAUUUAGUUGGGCACUCUAGAGAGACCGCCGGUGAUAAACCGGAGGAAGGUGUGGAUGACGUCAAGUCAUCAUGCCCCUUACAUCCUGGGCUACACACGUACUACAAUGCUACGGACAAAGGGCAGCAAACUCGCGAGAGC